GACGAACGCUGGCGGUGUGCUUCACACAUGCAAGUCGAACGAGGUAGCAAUACCUAGUGGCGGACGGGUGAGUAAACGCGUGGGAAUCUGCCUUUAGAUGGGGGAUAACGGGUCGAAAGACUCGCUAAUACCGCAUAUGACGAAAGUUGAAAGGAGUAAUCCGUCUAAAGAUGAGCCCGCGUCCGAUUAGCUAGUUGGUAGAGUAAAAGCCUACCAAGGCGACGAUCGGUAGCUGGUCUGAGAGGAUGAUCAGCCACAAUGGGACUAGAGACACGGCCCAUACUCCUACGGGAGGCAGCAGUGGGAAUUUUACGCAAUGGGCGAAAGCCUGACGUAGCGACACCGCGUGAGCGAAGAAGCCCC
Molecule: ribosomal RNA, 363 nt
Filed under: uncultured bacterium
Lineage: Bacteria
Description: bacterial SSU rRNA
Rfam family: Bacterial small subunit ribosomal RNA
Source: RNAcentral